Long non-coding RNA from Hyla sarda, 701 nucleotides. RefSeq lists it as uncharacterized. The record is from RefSeq and is a predicted model, not a curated record. The transcript has 4 exons. Lineage: Eukaryota; Metazoa; Chordata; Amphibia; Anura; Hylidae.
CCAUCUUUUUGCACGAUCACUAAUUUUCAAAAAAUGGUUUCAUCGCACUGAAAUGGAGGAAUUUUCUACUGCAGAAGAUAGGGCGGCUCUACGUAUCCUGAAUGAACUAUUAUCAGAACAAGAAACCUCUGUGGAACAACAGUUUACAGGAAAUACUCAAUACUGCAACAUUAUCAUCUAUCAUUACCAAAGAUUUGGCUGAGGCAUUACAAGUACAGUAUCCAGUGAUACCUACAUUAUAUUUGUUGCCUAAGGUGCACAAGAACCAGACACGUCCACCAGAGACACCACAGAUCUUCUACAGCGAAUUGAGGGACUACAAUUGGAACCGGACACUCUGCUAGUUACUUGUGAUAUUGAAUCACUUUAUACUAGUAUUAGACAUACUGACGGCCUUGCAGCAGCGAAAUUCUUCCUGGAUUCGAGUAACUACACACCACCCAUGAAAGAGAUCCUGCGGGCUACCUUCAGACAAAUGUUUUCCGUAAAGAGACAUCAGUAAACUCCUAUCUUCAUGCGACCUCCUCCCACCCACCUCAUAUGAUCAAAGCGGUGCCGUAGUGUCAGUACCUUCGCGCUAGACGAAUUUGCUCUUCAGAUGCCGCUUUCAAAGAACAGGCUGAUGACUUGAGAGAAUGUUUUAAAGAGAGGGGGUAUAGUAACCGGAACAUCAGAAAAGCUUACAACAGAGCCAAGAAUCA